CAACAGGGAUUGCCCCAGUAACGGCGAGUGAAGCGGCAAUAGCUCAAAUUUGAAAUCUGGCUCUUUCAGGGUCCGAGUUGUAAUUUGCAGAGGGCGCUUUGGUGUCGGCAGCGGCCUAAGUUCCUUGGAACAGGUCAUCAUAGAGGGUGAGAAUCCCGUAUGUGGCUGCUUGUCUUCACCGUGUAAAGCCCCUUCGAUGAGUCGAGUUGUUUGGGAAUGCAGCUCUAAAUGGGAGGUAAAUUUCUUCUAAAGCUAAAUAUUGGCCAGAGACCGAUAGCGCACAAGUAGAGUGAUCGAAAGAUGAAAAGCACUUUGGAAAGAGAGUCAAAAAGCACGUGAAAUUGUUGAAAGGGAAGCGCUUGCAGCCAGACGUGCCCGUAGUUGCUCAUCUGGGGAUUUCCCCAGUGCACUCUUCUAUGGGCAGGCCAGCAUCAGUUCGGGCGGUUGGAGAAAGACCUGUGUCACGUAGCUCUCUUCGGGGAGUGUUAUAGGGCAGGUGGAAUGCAACCAGCCUGGACUGAGGUCCGCGCAUCUGCUAGGAUGCUGGCGUAAUGGCUGUAAGCGGCCCGUCUUGAAACACGGACCAAGGAGUCUAACAUCUAUGCGAGUGUUUGGGUGUCAAGCCCGAGCGCGUAAUGAAAGUGAACGGAGGUGGGAACCCCUCGGGGUGCACCAUCGACCGAUCCUGAUGUCUUCGGAUGGAUUUGAGUAAGAGCAUAGCUGUUGGGACCCGAAAGAUGGUGAACUAUGCCUGAAUAGGGUGAAGCCAGAGGAAACUCUGGUGGAGGCUCGCAGCGGUUCUGACGUGCAAAUCGAUCGUCAAAUUUGGGCAUAGGGGCGAAAGACUAAUCGAACU
This 856-nucleotide ribosomal RNA is filed under the name Melanomma pulvis-pyrius. RNAcentral describes it as "eukaryotic LSU rRNA". It matches the Rfam family "Eukaryotic large subunit ribosomal RNA", at positions 66 to 941 of the family's 3401-position model. Lineage: Eukaryota; Fungi; Ascomycota; Dothideomycetes; Pleosporales; Melanommataceae. The record is from RNAcentral.